RNAcentral lists this ribosomal RNA (446 nucleotides) under uncultured bacterium. RNAcentral's name for it is "SSU rRNA". It matches the Rfam family "Bacterial small subunit ribosomal RNA", at positions 26 to 518 of the family's 1533-position model. The record is from RNAcentral.
AGAGCGAACGCUGGCGGCAGGCCUAACACAUGCAAGUCGAGCGCCCGUAGCAAUACGGGAGCGGCAGACGGGAGAGUAACACGUGGGAACGUACCCUUCAGUUCGGAAUAACCCAGGGAAACUUGGACUAAUACCGAAUACGUCCGUAAGGAGAAAGAUUUAUCGCUGAAGGAUCGGCCCGCGUCUGAUUAGCUUGUUGGUGAGGUAACGGCUCACCAAGGCGACGAUCAGUAGCUGGUCUGAGAGGAUGAUCAGCCUCACUGGGACUGAGACACGGCCCGGACUCCUACGGGAGGCAGCAGUGGGAAUAUUGGACAAUGGGCGCAAGCCUGAUCCAGCCAUGCCGCGUGGAUGAUGAAGGCCCUAGGGUUGUAAAGUCCUUUCGACGGGGAAGAUAAUGACGGUACCGUAGAAGAGCCCCGGCUAACGUUCGCGCCAGCAGCCGC